This 927-nucleotide ribosomal RNA is filed under the name Bifidobacterium breve. RNAcentral's name for it is "bacterial SSU rRNA". It matches the Rfam family "Bacterial small subunit ribosomal RNA", at positions 84 to 1387 of the family's 1533-position model. The record is from RNAcentral. Lineage: Bacteria; Bacillati; Actinomycetota; Actinomycetes; Bifidobacteriales; Bifidobacteriaceae.
UCCAUCGGUUGGUGGUGAGAGUGGCGAUCCCGUAAUGACCGACCUGCCCCAUGCACCGGAAUAGCUCCUGGAAACGGGUGGUAAUGCCGGAUGCUCCAUCACACCGCAUGGUGUGUUGGGAAAGCCUUUGCGGCAUGGGAUGGGGUCGCGUCCUAUCAGCUUGAUGGCGGGGUAACGGCCCACCAUGGCUUCGACGGGUAGCCGGCCUGAGAGGGCGACCGGCCACAUUGGGACUGAGAUACGGCCCAGACUCCUACGGGAGGCAGCAGUGGGGAAUAUUGCACAAUGGGCGCAAGCCUGAUGCAGCGACGCCGCGUGAGGGAUGGAGGCCUUCGGACUCUGGGAUCGCUGAUAGUUGUAGGCUUGAGUGCGGUAGGGGAGACUGGAAUUCCCGGUGUAACGGUGGAAUGUGUAGAUAUCGGGAAGAACACCAAUGGCGAAGGCAGGUCUCUGGGCCGUUACUGACGCUGAGGAGCGAAAGCGUGGGGAGCGAACAGGAUUAGAUACCCUGGUAGUCCACGCCGUAAACGGUGGAUGCUGGAUGUGGGGCCCGUUCCACGGGUUCCGUGUCGGAGCUAACGCGUUAAGCAUCCCGCCUGGGGAGUAAUACCGCUCGAGAACUCAAAGAAAUUGACGGGGGCCCGCACAAGCGGCGGAGCAUGCGGAUUAAUUCGAUGCAACGCGAAGAACCUUACCUGGGCCCAGCCUGAGGUGGGGAUGACGUCAGAUCAUCAUGCCCCUUACGUCCAGGGCUUCACGCAUGCUACAAUGGCCGGUACAACGGGUUGCGACAGUGCGAGCUGGAGCGGAUCCCUGAAAACCGGUCUCAGUUCGGAUCGCAGUCUGCAACUCGACUGCGUGAAGGCGGAGUCGCUAGUAAUCGCGAAUCAGCAACGUCGCGGUGAAUGCGUUCCCGGGCCUUGUACA